This 234-nucleotide non-coding RNA is filed under the name Roseburia intestinalis. Its description in RNAcentral is "T-box sequence". It matches the Rfam family "T-box leader". Rfam says of the family: Uncharged tRNA acts as the effector for transcription antitermination of genes in the T-box leader family. T-boxes are found upstream of many aminoacyl-tRNA synthetase genes and some amino acid biosynthetic genes usually in Gram-positive bacteria. The anticodon of a specific tRNA base pairs to a specifier sequence within the T-box motif, and the NCCA acceptor tail of the tRNA base pairs to a conserved bulge in the T-box antiterminator hairpin. The record is from RNAcentral. Lineage: Bacteria; Bacillati; Bacillota; Clostridia; Lachnospirales; Lachnospiraceae.
AUAAGGGCGUUGAGCGGGAAGAGUAAGAAAUCAGAGUGCUGACAGAGAGAAACUGCCAUCGGCUGCAAGCAGUUUUCAGAAAGAGAUUUCCGAAGUGCCUCCGUGAGCCUGUCCGGGGAAACGGUUUGUCUGCCAGUACAGUAUCCGGAUACGAGUAACACGCGUUAAGUGUAUUGAGUGAGGAUCAAAAGAUCCUUAAGUUAGAGUGGAACCACGGAUCAUUUCGUCUCUUAG